Molecule: long non-coding RNA, 341 nt
Organism: Papilio polytes (common Mormon)
Lineage: Eukaryota; Metazoa; Arthropoda; Insecta; Lepidoptera; Papilionidae
Exons: 4
Source: RefSeq, a predicted model, not a curated record
CGCUAGCGAGCAGCGGCAAUGCGGUACGUUCCGUGUCACCAGAGAUGUAGGAAUAUCUGGUUUUUCUACUUGUAGUUAAAAUGUAAUGUGAACUUAACUCUAUGUAUGAUUUACGAUUAAACAGAUAUCGGAGUUUUUACAAAUAAAUUAGUGUGUGUGUUUUUCAUGACAAAAGUUUAGUUGUAAGGAGUUCAAGUCAGUGAAAAAAGAGGGUCGGCAGAAACGUAUCGGGUAAGCACCGUCUCGACGUAUUCGGUUUUUCGAUCGCUUUAUAAGUAAAUUCUACAUAUUAUGUUGGUCUUCAGUGGUGCCGUACACAACUGAAGAGAAGAAAUUGGUAA